Molecule: unclassified non-coding RNA, 200 nt
Filed under: Penicillium sp.
Lineage: Eukaryota; Fungi; Ascomycota; Eurotiomycetes; Eurotiales; Aspergillaceae
Description: partial internal transcribed spacer 2
Source: RNAcentral
UUAAGUUCAGCGGGUAUCCCUACCUGAUCCGAGGUCAACCUGGAAAAAAGUUUUGGUUGAUCGGCAAGCGCCGGCCGGGCCUACAGAGCGGGUGACAAAGCCCCAUACGCUCGAGGACCGGACGCGGUGCCGCCGCUGCCUUUCGGGCCCGUCCCCCCGGGAAGGGGGACGAGACCCAACACACAAGCCGGGCUUGAGGG